CAUAUGCUUCACGGGCAACACAUGUUGCAGUUGAGGAAAGGAGCAAUCCGCUAAUAGAUGGGCUUGCGUCUGAUUAGCCUAGUUGGUGGGGUAAUGGCCUACCAAGGCGACGAUCAGUAGCCGGACUGAGAGGUUGAACGGCCACAUUGGGACUGAGAUACGGCCCAGACUCCUACGGGAGGCAGCAGUCGGGAAUAUUGCGCAAUGGAGGAAACUCUGACGCAGUGACGCCGCGUAUAGGACGAAGGUCUUCGGAUUGUAAACUAUUGUCGUUAGGGAAGAGAAAGGACAGUACCUAAGGAGGAAGCUCCGGCUAACUACGUG
This 324-nucleotide ribosomal RNA is filed under the name uncultured bacterium. RNAcentral describes it as "bacterial SSU rRNA". It matches the Rfam family "Bacterial small subunit ribosomal RNA", at positions 172 to 507 of the family's 1533-position model. The record is from RNAcentral.